GAGUUUGAUCGUGGCUCAGGACGAACGCUGGCGGCGUGCUUAACACAUGCAAGUCGAACGAGAAUCUACUGAAAGAGUUUUCGGACAAUGGAAGUAGAGGAAAGUGGCGGACGGGUGAGUAACGCGUGAGGAACCUGCCUUGAAGAGGGGACAACAGUUGGAAACGACUGCUAAUACCGCAUGAUGCAUAGGGGUCGCAUGAUUCUUAUGCCAAAGAUUUAUCGCUUCAAGAUGGCCUCGCGUCUGAUUAGCUAGUUGGCGGGGUAACGGCCCACCAAGGCGACGAUCAGUUAGCCGGA
Molecule: ribosomal RNA, 299 nt
Filed under: uncultured microorganism
Description: partial 16S ribosomal RNA
Rfam family: Bacterial small subunit ribosomal RNA
Source: RNAcentral